RNAcentral lists this ribosomal RNA (1245 nucleotides) under Sandal spike phytoplasma. RNAcentral's name for it is "bacterial SSU rRNA". It matches the Rfam family "Bacterial small subunit ribosomal RNA", at positions 153 to 1399 of the family's 1533-position model. The record is from RNAcentral. Lineage: Bacteria; Bacillati; Mycoplasmatota; Mollicutes; Acholeplasmatales; Acholeplasmataceae.
GAAACGACUGCUAAGACUGGAUAGGAGACAAGAAGGCAUCUUCUUGUUUUUAAAAGACCUAGCAAUAGGUAUGCUUAGGGAGGAGCUUGCGUCACAUUAGUUAGUUGGUGGGGUAAAGGCCUACCAAGACUAUGAUGUGUAGCCGGGCUGAGAGGUUGAACGGCCACAUUGGGACUGAGACACGGCCCAAACUCCUACGGGAGGCAGCAGUAGGGAAUUUUCGGCAAUGGAGGAAACUCUGACCGAGCAACGCCGCGUGAACGAUGAAGUAUUUCGGUACGUAAAGUUCUUUUAUUAGGGAAGAAUAAAUGAUGGAAAAAUCAUUCUGACGGUACCUAAUGAAUAAGCCCCGGCUAACUAUGUGCCAGCAGCCGCGGUAAUACAUAGGGGGCAAGCGUUAUCCGGAAUUAUUGGGCGUAAAGGGUGCGUAGGCGGUUAAAUAAGUUUUAUGGUCUAAGUGCAAUGCUCAACAUUGUGAUGCUAUAAAAACUGUUUAGCUAGAGUAAGAUAGAGGCAAGUGGAAUUCCAUGUGUAGUGGUAAAAUGCGUAAAUAUAUGGAGGAACACCAGUAGCGAAGGCGGCUUGCUGGGUCUUUACUGACGCUGAGGCACGAAAGCGUGGGGAGCAAACAGGAUUAGAUACCCUGGUAGUCCACGCCGUAAACGAUGAGUACUAAACGUUGGGUAAAACCAGUGUUGAAGUUAACACAUUAAGUACUCCGCCUGAGUAGUACGUACGCAAGUAUGAAACUUAAAGGAAUUGACGGGACUCCGCACAAGCGGUGGAUCAUGUUGUUUAAUUCGAAGGUACCCGAAAAACCUCACCAGGUCUUGACAUGCUUCUGCAAAGCUGUAGAAACACAGUGGAGGUUAUCAGUUGCACAGGUGGUGCAUGGUUGUCGUCAGCUCGUGUCGUGAGAUGUUGGGUUAAGUCCCGCAACGAGCGCAACCCUUAUUGUUAGUUACCAGCACGUAAUGGUGGGGACUUUAGCAAGACUGCCAGUGAUAAAUUGGAGGAAGGUGGGGAUGACGUCAAAUCAUCAUGCCCCUUAUGACCUGGGCUACAAACGUGAUACAAUGGCUGUUACAAAGGGUAGCUGAAGCGCAAGUUUUUGGCGAAUCUCAAAAAAACAGUCUCAGUUCGGAUUGAAGUCUGCAACUCGACUUCAUGAAGUUGGAAUCGCUAGUAAUCGCGAAUCAGCAUGUCGCGGUGAAUACGUUCUCGGGGUUUGUACACCGCCCGUCA